GAUUUCUGGUUUGAUGUGCCUGUCCCGCCACGGUAACGUGUGUGAGUGCCAGUGUACGUCUGCCAUCCUUCUAGAUUCGGCAGGCUAUUCUUAACUGAGUGGUCUGUCUGUUCUAGAUCUUUUACUUUGAAAAAAUUAGAGUGUUUCAAGCAGGCUUUUGCUAUGAAUACAUUAGCAUGGAAUAAUGAGUUAGGACUUCGGUUCUAUUUUGUUGGUUUCUAGGGCUGAAGUAGUGAUUGAUAGGGACAGUUGGGGGUGCUAGUAUUCAACGGCCAGAGGUGAAAUUCUUGGAUUCGUUGAAGACUAACUUAUGCGAAAGCAUU
Molecule: ribosomal RNA, 323 nt
Filed under: Allapsidae sp.
Lineage: Eukaryota; Cercozoa; Glissomonadida; Viridiraptoridae
Description: SSU rRNA
Rfam family: Eukaryotic small subunit ribosomal RNA (bases 63-323)
Source: RNAcentral